AAAACGACUCUCGGCAACGGAUAUCUCGGCUCACGCAUCGAUGAAGAACGUAGCAAAAUGCGAUACUUGGUGUGAAUUGCAGAAUCCCGUGAACCAUCGAGUUUUUGAACGCAAGUUGCGCCCAACGCCAUCUGGUUGAGGGCACGUCUGCCUGGGCGUCACGU
RNAcentral lists this ribosomal RNA (164 nucleotides) under Stevia clausseni. RNAcentral's name for it is "5.8S rRNA". It matches the Rfam family "5.8S ribosomal RNA". Rfam says of the family: 5.8S ribosomal RNA (5.8S rRNA) is a component of the large subunit of the eukaryotic ribosome. It is transcribed by RNA polymerase I as part of the 45S precursor that also contains 18S and 28S rRNA. Lineage: Eukaryota; Viridiplantae; Streptophyta; Magnoliopsida; Asterales; Asteraceae. The record is from RNAcentral.